RNAcentral lists this unclassified non-coding RNA (458 nucleotides) under Hevea brasiliensis (rubber tree). Lineage: Eukaryota; Viridiplantae; Streptophyta; Magnoliopsida; Malpighiales; Euphorbiaceae. The record is from RNAcentral.
UCUUGGUGCAACAAUGGCAGAUGGUAUGCAAGGUUAGGAAUGGCGAUGUGAGUUACUUUCAAUGAUGCGGGAAACGGAAGAUCGUAUUGAACAGUGGCAAACUGAGUUUCGGAAAAAAGCUGAGUCAAGCACUCAUCGGGCAAAUGAAGAACUCAAGACUCUUAUGGCAAGUAAAAGUCUUCAACACAAUGAACUAGCUACAAAGGGAAGCAUUAUAAUGGUGGUUAUAAACAAUCUUGGUCCAAAUUUCCUAAAUUGGAUUUUCCUCAUUUUUGUGGUGAUCAUCUUGAAUCUUGGUUAAUAAAAGCUUAGUAUUAUUUUGAAGUCACAAAUACUCCGAUGGAAAAUGUAUUUGGAUGAGAAGGCAGUGCAAUGGCAUCAGGGGUAAGUUAGGAUCAGAGGUACAAAAGCUUAUGGUAGAUGGGAUGAGUAUGUUCGUGGGUUGAAGGAGAGGUUUG